UAGGACGAACGCUGGCGGCGUGCUUCAUACAUGCAAGUCGAACGAGAAGCUUACUUCGGUAAGUGGAAAGUGGCGGACGGGUGAGUAAUGUGUAGAGAAUCUGCCCUGAAGUGGGGGACAACAGAGGGAAACUUCUGCUAAUACCCCAUAUGAGCGUAGUUGCGAUACUAUUCUUGAAAGAUUUAUCGCUUCAGGAUGAGUCUGCAUCUGAUUAGCUAGUUGGGGGUGUAAUGGACCACCAAGGCGACGAUCAGUAGCUGGUUUGAGAGGAUGAUCAGCCACAAUGGGACUGAGACACGGCCCAUACUCCUACGGGAGGCAGCAGUAGGGAAUUUUGCGCAAUGGGCGAAAGCCUGACGCAGCAACGCCCGCGUGAUCGCAGACGGCCUUCGGGUUGUAAAGAUCUGUCAGUAGGGACGAACAAUGACUGUACCUACAGAGGAAGCACCGGCUAACUCCGUGCCAGCAGCUGC
This 473-nucleotide ribosomal RNA is filed under the name uncultured bacterium. RNAcentral's name for it is "bacterial SSU rRNA". It matches the Rfam family "Bacterial small subunit ribosomal RNA", at positions 26 to 518 of the family's 1533-position model. The record is from RNAcentral.